Molecule: long non-coding RNA, 675 nt
Organism: Homo sapiens (human)
Lineage: Eukaryota; Metazoa; Chordata; Mammalia; Primates; Hominidae
Exons: 3
Source: RefSeq, a predicted model, not a curated record
UCGCCUCUGCUCACAUGCGAAAUCUGUUUCCUGCCAGCGAUGGCUCUGUGGGCCUCAAUUCCCCACCUGAGCAAUGAGCUAAUGGUUCCUAGGCAGAGGCAGAGGCAGGACCAAUGAGGUGGACCCAAGUCCAAGUACAGUGACAUCUUUAUCUUCAUUUCCCGGCCUCAUCUCCACCUGGGGCAAAAAUGAAGUGGGGUGAUGGGCAGGCAGAGGGAAUCCAGGACCCACCCAGGCCCAACUCCCAGCCCACUGUCUCCCACCCCAGCUGGGGAAGCUACAGGGCCCAGCCAAGCAGGUGGUGGCAGGGUCACCUUGGGAAGAGGUAUUGGGGCCUGGGAAGAAGGGGGAAGAUAUUAUGCACCGAAGGCUGCAGCUGAGGACACUAAUCUGAACAGACAAGGAAUCAAUGGGAAUUUCUAUUUAGGGAGGAAAUCAAUAGGAAUUUCAAGGAAGCCAGGAUUGAGUCGGCGAACAGAGAUCUCCAGAACCAGGCAUAGAGAGCUCCGUCUCCUCAUCCGUUAGGUGGGGACAACAGGGACCUCAUCAGUGAGAAGCGAAUCCCAGAGGAGGAAACUGAGGCACCGAGGCGUUAAACAACUCGUGCGAGGUCACACAGCUAGGAAACACAAGCCCUGGCACCAGAGCCUGGGCUCGAACCCUGUGCUCUGCUGC